This 463-nucleotide ribosomal RNA is filed under the name uncultured bacterium. Its description in RNAcentral is "partial 16S ribosomal RNA". It matches the Rfam family "Bacterial small subunit ribosomal RNA", at positions 28 to 507 of the family's 1533-position model. The record is from RNAcentral.
GACGAACGCUGGCGGCGUGCUUAACACAUGCAAGUCGAACGGAAAGGCCUUUUCGGAGGUACUCGAGUGGCGAACGGGUGAGUAACACGUGGGUGAUCUGCCCUGCACUCUGGGAUAAGCCUGGGAAACUGGGUCUAAUACCGGAUAGGACCGCACUUUAGUGUGUGUGGUGGAAAGUUUUUUCGGUGUAGGAUGAGCCCGCGGCCUAUCAGCUUGUUGGUGGGGUAAUGGCCUACCAAGGCGGCGACGGGUAGCCGGACUGAGAGGUUGGUCGGCCACAUUGGGACUGAGAUGCGGCCCAGACUCCUACGGGAGGCAGCAGGGGGGAAUAUUGCACAAUGGGCGCAAGCCUGAUGCAGCGACGCCGCGGGGGGGAUGACGGCCUUCGGGUUGUAAACUCCUUUCGCCAGGGACGAAGCGUUUUGUGACGGUACCUGGAGAAGAAGCACCGGCUAACUACGUG